GAUGAACGCUGGCGGCGUGCCUAAUACAUGCAAGUCGAGCGAACGGACGAGAAGCUUGCUUCUCUGAUGUUAGCGGCGGACGGGUGAGUAACACGUGGAUAACCUACCUAUAAGACUGGGAUAACUUCGGGAAACCGGAGCUAAUACCGGAUAAUAUUUUGAACCGCAUGGUUCAAAAGUGAAAGACGGUCUUGCUGUCACUUAUAGAUGGAUCCGCGCUGCAUUAGCUAGUUGGUAAGGUAACGGCUUACCAAGGCAACGAUGCAUAGCCGACCUGAGAGGGUGAUCGGCCACACUGGAACUGAGACACGGUCCAGACUCCUACGGGAGGCAGCAGUAGGGAAUCUUCCGCAAUGGGCGAAAGCCUGACGGAGCAACGCCGCGUGAGUGAUGGAGGUCUUCGGAUCGUAAAACUCUGUUAUUAGGGAAGAACAUAUGUGUAAGUAACUGUGCACAUCUUGACGGUACCUAAUCAGAAAGCCACGGCUAACUACGUG
RNAcentral lists this ribosomal RNA (497 nucleotides) under uncultured bacterium. Its description in RNAcentral is "partial 16S ribosomal RNA". It matches the Rfam family "Bacterial small subunit ribosomal RNA", at positions 28 to 507 of the family's 1533-position model. The record is from RNAcentral.